Molecule: long non-coding RNA, 773 nt
Filed under: Equus caballus (horse)
Lineage: Eukaryota; Metazoa; Chordata; Mammalia; Perissodactyla; Equidae
Description: lncRNA (ENSECAG00000052381.1)
Source: RNAcentral
CAAAACUAACAAAACUACAGUGUGCUUACCUUUCUACCCAGCAAUCCCACCUCUAGGACUCUACCCUGAACGUGCAUCUCCAACACAGAAAUACCUACGCACGGGCUUGUUCCCUGAACCGUUGCUUGUCGUUGCGAACUGUUAGAAACCUGCUGACCGUCCGCAUACACAAGAGCGUUGAACAAAUUGCGGCGCAUCCACACGACGGAGAGAAGAAUGAGGACGACCUCUACGAGCCGAUGUGGAGUGAUUUCCAGGACAUUCUCUUAAGUGGGAGAGAAUAUCGAUAGCAUGCUAUCCUUCACAAUGGUCCUGUGUCUUGGCUGCGGUGGUGGUGACCCCAACCUGCACGUGGGACAAACGGCACAGAAGUCUUCACACACGCUGUCCCAACGUCCGUCUCCUGGGCUUGCCAUUGUGUUACAGUUACGCAAGAUGGAACCACUGGGGGAAAGUGGGCCAAGCGACAAGGAGCCUUUCUGUACGACCUUCGAAACUUCCUGUGAAUUUAUAAUUAUUUCAAAAUAGAAAGUAAAAAUAAAUGACUAUGGGCCAAACAAACACGGUGGAGUUGGGGGAGGUUGGGUCCCUGAGCGGACAGUGCGCGAGCUCCGGCUUCGAGGAACAGGACCUUUCUUGACCCUCUGCCGAUAGCACCUUGGUUGUAUUGCCCUGGCUGCGAGGCCAGGUAACUAGGUCAGAGAGAAGGUGGACAUGUCAUCGUUGGCAUCAUAAAGAGCACACGGAAGGAUUUUGUGUGUUGGUGUGUGUAG